AUGAUUAGGUCACCAAGGAGGCACGAGGGACCUCCCAAGAGGCCAGAGCAAACAGCCAUCUCCACCACCAGUCUGGCAUUUGAGGCAGAGGACGGAGGAUGUGCAAUCAGACAAAACACAUUUCUGAGAAAGCCCAGGGUGAAGGCUUGGUGUGGUUUCUUGAUGAAAUGAGAGACAAUGAAUCUUUAUAAGAUGGCGGAUUGAACAAACGGAUUGUAGGAGACCAGACACUGACAAGAAGGACAAUCUCCUGAUGAAUGCCCUCAAGGAAGCCUGCUGUACUCUGUACAGUGUCACUGCCUUGUGUACGGGCCAGCUGAUUCCAAUCUCCACUGUCACCGUUGACUGCACCGUGAGGCUGGAUCGGCACAUCCUCUCACUGCGAGCCCUCACGUCCACUUGCACACUGUCAGAAAUCAAAGCUGGUGGAAGUCCCACAGGAAUUCAGGCCAACCUCUUACAGCUCUCUCUUUCUAUCCUGCUUUCUUCUCUUCCCCUGCAAACAUAUUUAUAUCUCUUGUCCACUAAAACAGUAACAAAUCUAACAAAACAAAAUAACUUUUCUCUUAUCCUACUAUCUUACUGUAGUCACGCUGCUUUCCUCUUUCCUUUUGGUGUCAUUUGUACGCAGAGUACUCUAUGCUAUCUGAUACAGUUUCUCAACUGACAUCUUUCUUUUUCAUACCUUUUGCUGGGACCACCCUACCCAAAUUGCGUCCUCAGAAUGCUCACAGUGGCUGCUCAGCUGGAAAAUCCAAUACCUAUUUUGUAAGAAUUGACUUCCUCGCCCUCUUUGCAGCGUUUGACCUUGUUAUAUGUUAUUUUAAGUUGUACGUCUUUUUAUUUUCUCUUUUCUGAUGCUUUGACAUCUUGGGGCUUUGCUGACCCUGGAGGGACUGUCUCUCCCAGGGCUAGCCAAUUCCUAGAGAU
This is a long non-coding RNA of Equus caballus (horse), 930 nucleotides long. The record is from Ensembl. Lineage: Eukaryota; Metazoa; Chordata; Mammalia; Perissodactyla; Equidae.